This 301-nucleotide ribosomal RNA is filed under the name uncultured bacterium. RNAcentral describes it as "partial 16S ribosomal RNA". It matches the Rfam family "Bacterial small subunit ribosomal RNA", at positions 509 to 809 of the family's 1533-position model. The record is from RNAcentral.
CAGUCGCCGCGGUAAAACGUAGGUGGCAAGCGUUGUCCGGAAUUAUUGGGCGUAAAGGGCUCGCAGGCGGUUUCUUAAGUCUGAUGUGAAAGCCCCCGGCUCAACCGGGGAGGGUCAUUGGAAACUGGGAAACUUGAGUGCAGAAUAGGAGAGUGGAAUUCCACGUGUAGCGGUGAAAUGCGUAGAGAUGUGGAGGAACACCAGUGGCGAAGGCGACUCUCUGGUCUGUAACUGACGCUGAGGAGCGAAAGCGUGGGGAGCGAACAGGAUUAGAUACCCGUGUAGUCCCUGUCUCUUAUAA